This 4898-nucleotide long non-coding RNA is filed under the name Sus scrofa (pig). RNAcentral's name for it is "lncRNA (ENSSSCG00000056118.1)". Lineage: Eukaryota; Metazoa; Chordata; Mammalia; Artiodactyla; Suidae. The record is from RNAcentral.
UUGAAAAAAAAGAACCUGCAGUAGUAACAGGUAUGAAGUACAGGUAGAAUAAGAAUUACCAAAAAUGAAAAUUAACCUGGACCCUCACUUAUUUUAGUGAUAUGAGAGAGCUAUAAUUCCAGAUAGACUUCUGGACUAAAAAUGACUAGCAUUUAAGAUAUUUAGGUUCAUUUUUUAAGGGAACGGGGAUAUUACUAUGGCUAAUUCUUCUCCAUGAGUGCUUAUAUUGAUGAUAUGAUUCGCAUAAGAAAAAAAUUUUUGUGCCUGAGCUUUGCUUUGAUUGAAUUUGAGAAAUCUUAUAAUUAAUUAGUAUUAUUUACAUGGUACAUUAUUUAGCUGGUUCUAAAUUUAUAUAGAGAUACAUUCAUUUGUUAGAUUAUGUUGAAUUUACUAAAAUGUUGUAAUAUUUGUGCAUCAGAAAUGAACUACUCACAGUUGAAGGACAAUGGCAUUUGCAGACAGAGGUUUGAGAGUCAAGUGUAUGCUUUGUUCAUGAUAAGUGAAACUGAAUAAAAUUAUAAGCAGCCUGAUACCAAUAUCUAGCUUCUAUCAUGUGGCUUCAUUAGAUUUAUUUUAAGUGGAAAAUAUAUGUUAUGAAUAAUGCCAUUGGUUUGGUUCGGUUUGGUUUGGUUUGGUUUGGUUUGGUUUUCUGUCCUGGCUUCCUGGAAGCUACAGCCAAAAGCUGGUUAACACUAAGACUUUAUUUCAGCAUAAAGGCCCUGACAAUUUCUUGAAGCCAAGAUAUCUUAUUUGCUUUGAUUUGACUGUGUUUGGUGAAUCACUGGUCCAUAUACAAAGGAAUGCGCCCCCCUUUUUAAGUAAUAUCCUUCCUGUAGAUAUCACAGAGGAACAUUUGAACAAUGCAAACAUGAAAUAUGUUUCAUCUUUGACUACUGCCCUAAUCCUGUCCUCACAGAUAAAGACAAAUCAGGAAUAGGACUAUUUAGCCCAAUUCCCCUGGGCACCAUUAACUACUCAGUUGUCUCAUACUGAACCUCUCAGAUCUCCCAUCUACUUGGGACUAGAAUUUAAAGAUGUCAUCCCCGGUAAGAGAUUACAGGACCAAGAAGUAGUAGUUGAGGGUGGUGCCGUGGUUUGUGUGAAUGAGGGCAACUUGUCUUGAGAUGUGAUUACACAAAAAGUAUGUUUAAUUGAAUUACACUGGGGCCUAGAAGAGAUAAAAAUCCUGGAUUGUGAAGUGGGAGUGGGGGUUCCUAGAUUCACUGGAGUAGAAACUCUAUGGGCUUCAGAUAAUAAAUCCCAUGGGAGAAACCUUUCAUCCACAUGUUUAUGUCUCCUUUCAGGUGAGCAAUGAUUUCUUUUAUACUAAGCAGAUUUUAGUCUUUUAUUCUCUUUUUUUUGGAAAUUAUACAUCAACUCUCUUUUACCUCGUCUAUGUAUUAUGUAGCUUAGGCUGCCUUUGAUAACUGAGAAAUGCAAAAUAGACUUAAAACUAGUAAAAGACUUAAUCUAGGGCAUUUAGGUUUAUUCUUUCAGUCAAUAUACAUAUAUUAUGGGUUAUUUUUCUCCAUGAGUCAUGUGUGUGUGUGUGUGUGUGUGUGUGGUGUGUGUGUGUGUGUAUGAUCAUAUACAUAUAUAAUGAUCCUCAUCAGGAGAAUUUUACUUUUUUUUUUUUUUUUGCCAUUUCUUGGGCAGCUCCCGCGGCAUAUGGAGGUUCCCAGGCUAGGGGUCCAAUCGGAGCUUUAGCCACCGGCCUACACCAGAGCCACAGCAACGCGGGAUCCGAGCUGCGUCUGCAACCUACACCACAGCUCACAGCAACGCCGGAUCGUCAAUCCACUGAGCAAGGCCAGGGAUCGAACCCACAACCUCAUGGUUCCUAGUCGGAUUCGUUAACCACUGCGCUGCGACGGAAACUCCGAAUUUUACUUUUUAUUUGAGUUUGUUUACUGAAAAUCGAGAAAGUUUUGUGAUUCAACAGUAUCAUUUCUAUGGUGCAAUAUUUUGUUGGUUCUAAAUGCCCAAGUAGACAAAUUCAAUACUUUCAUAUUAUUUCAGGGUUUUAAUGUUUUACAUUUGUGUAUUAUUUUUGGAUUCUGACUAUUCGAGGAUCCUGACAAUUGUGAAUCCUUGAAGUCCAGAUAUUUAUUUUCCUGUGGAUGUAAAAAUGAAUAAAAUUAGGAUCUUCCUGGUAUCUUAUUUACUUUUUAGGAAAAGUAGUCAUAAAAUAUAGUUUUCAUUUUUGACUACUGUCAUACUCCUGUCCCCUUAGAUAAAGUCUACUGAGAAAGACGACUUUAUGCCCACCUACACUAGGGACACAUAAAAGCUAACCAGAUUAACUUCACUGAAUCUACCCAAACCCCAGUCCACUUUGGCACAGAUUUUUAAGGCAAUCUUGGUUAGACUUUUUAGGAUCAAAUAAAUGUAUUGGUGGAGUGCCAUAACUUGUGUCUUGAGAUUUGAUGACAUAAAAAUUAUGCUAAUCCCCAGCAUGGGUGCCAUUCUUGGGAAGGGAUAUAGGAAUGUUCAAGGUUAUGUGAAACAAAGCUAUGGAAACAGAUAUGAUUUUAAAAAAAGAGUGAGAAGUCAUUGAAAAUUUUAUUAAGAAUCUGUGUUGUAGAGCGAAAGUAUCAGGUUGUACAGAGUUUGCCUAGUGACCUGGAAGAAGGGGAUUAAAAAACAGUCAUGCUAUUAAAUGACAAAAUGGGAACUGCUGUAUCAUAGAAACUAAUUUAUUUUUCAUUUAAAUAUGAAGAAUAUUGGCCCUAUACUUUUGUAACUCCAGCAACUCAAAUGCCUAUUAGAAUGUAUUAAGGACUGCUGCAGAUACUGAAAAUGUUAAAAGCCCAUAUGCCCUCCCCCUAGUGCUCUAAGAGAUCCACAAAAAUUACCUGAGGUGUUCUGUACUUUGUUUUCAGUCUACAAACAUUUACAUGGGUCUGCAUGCUGGCUGCUAUACAAAUUGUUGUCUAUUUGACUUUCUUUGACUGAUGAAACAGGCACAAAGAAAGCAAAAUGGUAACCUCUCCACACUAGGGAAUUCUAAGUUGUCAGGAAUCCAACUGCGCACUUUCUCCAACAACUCAGACUAUUCUGUUCUUUGUACCUUAGAAACUUAGCAUAAAGCACUACUGACAAGAUUCCUUGAAAAUUUUCUGCAGAAGGUAAACUGAGAGACUCAGCUAAAUCCUGCACUCAGAAGCUGAGUCCUUCAUUGUGUUUAAUUACAGUUCACUGAAGCACUUCCUAAGGUUACAACUAUAAAUACAUAUGAAGAUCAGAAUAGACCUUGAAACCCCCCCCAAUUUUAUGUCAUUUUUUUUUGCUAAGAAUUCAAAUACAAGUAAGAUGGAAGUUCCUGUCGUGGCACAGCAGAAACGAAUCGGACUAGGAACCAUGAGGUUGCGGUUUCAAUCCCUGGCCCCACUUAGUGGGUUGAGGAUCUGGCAUUGCUGUGGCUGUGGCAUAGGCCAGCAGCUACAGCUCUGAUUAGACCCUUAGCCUGGGAACCUCCAUAUGUUGUGGGUGUGGCCCUAAAAAGACAAAAAAUAUAUAAGUAAGAGAAAAAGUAGUUUGAUGGAAAGAACAAAUGGUUUCUCAGAUAGUGGCGGCUACAACCAGCUUUGAUAAAAUAUGUAGAAGAAACUUAAGAUGCAGUUUAUCUACCUAGUUAUAAUUAUUUAUAAGGGAACACAACUUAUCUGAGGCCCUCAACAAAGAAUGCAUACCCUAAUGGAAAGUCAAUAAUUCACUAACGAAAAGUCAAGACAUUGGAAAAAAGAAUGCUGAAAGAGACUAAGAUUCAAGGCAUACAAUCUAUCUCUAAAAUUUUACCAUCACCUCAAGAGAAUCUUCCCCACCCCAGGAAAUCAGACGGAAAAUGAUUGGCAAAUGGUGAAAAAUAAUAAACCAAAUUGACACGAGAGAACCUUAGAACUGGAAAUGAAAUAGACUUUUCUGUUACUUUUCCCCAUCUCAGACUUUUCCAAUCCUUUCUUCUGGGUACUAAAGCCAUGGAUUCCGCAAUUUCUACUCCCUUUGUUGUUUAACCUGGAAAACAUCCAAGGUAUGGAUGUUUCUGGAUGACCUUCUACCAGUUCUGUACCCUCUGAAGUUCCUAUGUAAACAGGUAGCCCCUUAGAAGAAUAUAUCUUGUAUACUGAUGUGCUUGAUAAUCUGUUAAAAAUGGACCUGCUGUGUACUUUCAUAAACUUUUGCUUUUGUUUAUUUCAACUUGAAGACAGCCCUUGAACACUUCUUAUAAAGGAGGUCUAGUGGUGAUAAGCUCCCUCAAUUUUUUUUUGUUUAACUGGUAAAGUCUUAAUCUCACCUCUAUUGUUAAAGGACAGUUUUACCGGUUUACUAGUAAUAUUCUUGGUUGGCGAGAUUUUUUUUUUCCUUUCAGUAUUUUGAAUAUGUCAUUCUUUUAUCUCCUGGACUACAAGAUUCCUGCUGGGGAGUUCCCACUGUGGCUCAGUGGUUAACAAAUCUGACUAGGAACCAUGAGGUUGUGGGUUUGAUCCCUGGCCUUGCUCAGUGGGUUAAGGAUCCAGCAUUGCCAUGAGCUGUGGUGUAGGUCACAGACACAGCUCGGAUCCCAUGCUGCUGUGGCUGUGGCGUAGGCCAGCGGCUACAGCUCCGAUUAGACCCCUAGCCUGGGAAUCUCCAUAUGCCAUGGGUGUGGCCCCAGAAAAGAAAAAAAAUAAAAGACUCCUGGAGUUCCCGUCGUGGCGCAGUGGUUAACGAAUCUGACUAGGAACCAUGAGGUUGCAGGUUCGAUCCCUGCCCUUGCUCAGUGGGUUGACGAUCCAGCGUUGCCGUGAGCUGUGGUGUAGGUCGCAGACGCGGCUCGGAUCCUGCGUUGCUGUGGCUCUGGCGUAAGCUGGCAGCUACAGCUCUGGUUAGACCCCUAGCCUGAGAACCUCCAUAUGCCG